UAAACACCGGUUCCCAUACACUCACUAAAGUUAAGCAAUGUUGAGCUUGGUCAGCACCUAGAUGGGUGACCACUUGGUAUUAAUAGGUGCUGUAA
Non-coding RNA from Acanthosepion pharaonis, 95 nucleotides. Lineage: Eukaryota; Metazoa; Mollusca; Cephalopoda; Sepiida; Sepiidae. The record is from the annotation of a GenBank genome assembly.